GAUGAACGCUGGCGGCGUGCCUAAUACAUGCAAGUCGAACGAAACUUCUCUAUCACCGUGUGCGUGCACGCACCGAUAAAGAAUUGAGGGGUGAAAGGGUGAGAAACACGUGGGCAACCUGCCCAAACGAGGGGGAUAACAGUUGGAAACAGGUGCUAAUGCCGCAUAACCAUAGUUACCGCGUGGAAACUAUGUUAACGGUGGCUAUACUACCGCGGUUGGAUGGGCCGGCGGCGGAUUAGCUGGUUGGUAGGGUAAUGGCGUACCACGGGGCUGAUGGGUAGUCGAAGUGAGAGGUUGAUCGGCCGCAUUGGUACUGAGACACGGCCCAAACUCCUACGGGAGGCAGCAGUAGUGAAUAUUCCACAAUGAGGGAAAGCCGGCUGGAGCAACGCCGCGGGGUGGAAGAAGGUCUUCGGAUCGUAGAGCCCUGUUUUUAGAGAUGAAAGUGCGUGGGAGUAUCUGUUCACGUGUCGACGGUAUCUAACUAGAAAGCCACGGCUAACUACGUG
RNAcentral lists this ribosomal RNA (512 nucleotides) under uncultured bacterium. RNAcentral's name for it is "partial 16S ribosomal RNA". It matches the Rfam family "Bacterial small subunit ribosomal RNA", at positions 28 to 507 of the family's 1533-position model. The record is from RNAcentral.